RNAcentral lists this ribosomal RNA (497 nucleotides) under uncultured bacterium. RNAcentral's name for it is "partial 16S ribosomal RNA". It matches the Rfam family "Bacterial small subunit ribosomal RNA", at positions 28 to 507 of the family's 1533-position model. The record is from RNAcentral.
GACGAACGCUGGCGGCGUGCCUAAUACAUGCAAGUAGAACGCUGAAGAGAGGAGCUUACUCUUCUUGGAUGAGUUGCGAACGGGUGAGUAACGCGUAGGUAACCUGCCUUGUAGCGGGGGAUAACUAUUGGAAACGAUAGCUAAUACCGCAUAACAAUGGAUGACACAUGUCAUUUAUUUGAAAGGGGCAAUUGCUCCACUACAAGAUGGACCUGCGUUGUAUUAGCUAGUAGGUGAGGUAAUGGCUCACCUAGGCGACGAUACGUAGCCGACCUGAGAGGGUGAUCGGCCACACUGGGACUGAGACACGGCCCAGACUCCUACGGGAGGCAGCAGUAGGGAAUCUUCGGCAAUGGGGGCAACCCUGACCGAGCAACGCCGCGUGAGUGAAGAAGGGUGUCGGAUCGUAAAGCUCUGUUGUAAGUCAAGAACGGGUGUGAGAGUGGAAAGUUCACACUGUGACGGUAGCUUACCAGAAAGGGACGGCUAACUACGUG